RNAcentral lists this ribosomal RNA (431 nucleotides) under uncultured Staphylococcus sp. RNAcentral describes it as "bacterial SSU rRNA". It matches the Rfam family "Bacterial small subunit ribosomal RNA", at positions 61 to 474 of the family's 1533-position model. Lineage: Bacteria; Bacillati; Bacillota; Bacilli; Caryophanales; Staphylococcaceae. The record is from RNAcentral.
GUCGAGCGAACAGACGAGGAGCUUGCUCCUCUGACGUUAGCGGCGGACGGGUGAGUAACACGUGGAUAACCUACCUAUAAGACUGGGAUAACUUCGGGAAACCGGAGCUAAUACCGGAUAAUAUAUUGAACCGCAUGGUUCAAAAGUGAAAGACGGUUUUGCUGUCACUUAUAGAUGGAUCCGCGCCGCAUUAGCUAGUUGGUAAGGUAACAGCUUACCAAGGCAACGAUGCGUAGCCGACCUGAGAGGGUGAUCGGCCACACUGGAACUGAGACACGGUCCAGAUUCCUACGGGAGGCAGCAGUAGGGAAUCUUCCGCAAUGGGCGAAAGCCUGACGGAGCAACGCCGCGUGAGUGAUGAAGGUCUUCGGAUCGUAAAACUCUGUUAUUAGGGAAGAACAAAUGUGUAAGUAACUAUGCACGUCUUGACG